RNAcentral lists this ribosomal RNA (498 nucleotides) under uncultured bacterium. RNAcentral describes it as "partial 16S ribosomal RNA". It matches the Rfam family "Bacterial small subunit ribosomal RNA", at positions 28 to 523 of the family's 1533-position model. The record is from RNAcentral.
GAUGAACGCUAGCGGCAGGCCUAAUACAUGCAAGUCGGACGGGAUUUGGGAGCUUGCUCCUAAUGAGAGUGGCGCACGGGUGCGUAACACGUAUGUAACCUACCUUAAUCAGGGGGAUAGCCUCUCGACAGAGAGAUUAACACCGCAUAACAUAUUUUUAUGGCAUCGUAGAAAUAUCAAAUAUUUAUAGGAUUAAGAUGGGCAUGCGGAACAUUAGCUAGUUGGUAAGGUAACGGCUUACCAAGACUACGAUGUUUAGGGGGUCUGAGAGGAUGACCCCCCACACUGGUACUGAGACACGGACCAGACUCCUACGGGAGGCAGCAGCAAGGAAUAUUGGUCAAUGGACGCAAGCCUGAACCAGCCAUGCCGCGUGCAGGAAGACGGCCCUAUGAGUUGUAAACUGCUUUUGUACCGGAAUAAACCCUUUUACGUGUAGAAGGCUGAAUGUACGGUAAGAAUAAGGAUCGGCUAACUCCGUGCCAGCAGCCACCGUAA